This 158-nucleotide unclassified non-coding RNA is filed under the name soil metagenome. RNAcentral describes it as "partial internal transcribed spacer 1". The record is from RNAcentral.
UAAUAAGUGUUUUAUGGCACUUUUUAAAUCCAUAUCCACCUUGUGUGCAAUGUCAGCCGGUUUUCUUUUUCGUCAAGAAAAAAAGGAUCGACCAAACAUCAACUUAUUCUAAUUGAACUUUUGUCUGAAAACUAUUAUGAAUAAACUAAUUCAAAAUA